GACGAACGCUGGCGGCGUGCUUAACACAUGCAAGUCGAACGGAAAGGCCCUGCUUUUGUGGGGUGCUCGAGUGGCGAACGGGUGAGUAACACAUGAGUAACCUGCCCUUGACUUUGGUAUAACUUCAGGAAACUGGGGCUAAUACCGGAUAGGAGCUCCUGCUGCAUGGUGGGGGUUGGAAAGUUUCGGCGGUUGGGGAUGGACUCGCGGCUUAUCAGCUUGUUGGUGGGGUAGUGGCUUACCAAGGCUUUGACGGGUAGCCGGCCUGAGAGGGUGACCGGCCACAUUGGGACUGAGAUACGGCCCAGACUCCUACGGGAGGCAGCAGUGGGGAAUAUUGCACAAUGGGCGGAAGCCUGAUGCAGCAACGCCGCGUGCGGGAUGACGGCCUUCGGGUUGUAAACCGCUUUCGCCUGUGACGAAGCGUGAGUGACGGUAAUGGGUAAAGAAGCACCGGCUAACUACGUG
Molecule: ribosomal RNA, 468 nt
Filed under: uncultured bacterium
Lineage: Bacteria
Description: partial 16S ribosomal RNA
Rfam family: Bacterial small subunit ribosomal RNA
Source: RNAcentral